UACGGAGGAUCCGAGCGUUAUCCGGAAUCAUUGGGUUUAAAGGGUCCGUAGGCGGCCCUGUAAGUCAGUGGUGAAAUCUCACGGCUCAACCGUGAAAUUGCCAUUGAUACUGCAGGGCUUGAAUUGUUGGGAAGUAACUAGAAUAUGUAGUGUAGCGGUGAAAUGCUUAGAUAUUACAUGGAAUACCGAUUGCGAAGGCAGGUUACUACCAAUGGAUUGACGCUGAUGGACGAAAGCGUGGGGAGCGAACAGG
This 253-nucleotide ribosomal RNA is filed under the name uncultured prokaryote. RNAcentral describes it as "partial 16S ribosomal RNA". It matches the Rfam family "Bacterial small subunit ribosomal RNA", at positions 524 to 776 of the family's 1533-position model. The record is from RNAcentral.